This is a long non-coding RNA of Sarcophilus harrisii (Tasmanian devil), 423 nucleotides long. RefSeq lists it as uncharacterized. The record is from RefSeq and is a predicted model, not a curated record. NCBI's taxonomy places the organism in Eukaryota, Metazoa, Chordata, Mammalia, Dasyuromorphia, Dasyuridae. The transcript is spliced from 2 exons.
AAGUUCCAUGAGAUAUUGAAAGUGAGGCGUGUGGAGCCAAACAACCUGAGAGGAAGAGGAAUGAAUGGAGUGGGGUGAGACUCAAGGUGGGCAAAACCACUGGCAGCUAUGGCAAUGACCCAAGACUGUGGUGGAUACAAUGUCAGAGGAGAGGUGGCUGGAUGAGACACAUAUGAGCUGUGUUUCGAAAGGGAGUUUCAUAAGAAGGAAGAGAGCACAGCACAUCGCCUUGGCAACAGAGGUCAAAAGAACUAACAAAUGGUAAACAUCAGAAAAGGAGAGUGCGCAGGCUACAAAACAACUGGUGCCAGAAAUUCUCAAAGGUUAUACGUAUGGUGAAGUUUCAAGCCACCCCCAAAGCCUGGACACCCUUUCUACUUACUGUGAAGAGACAAAGAAAAAAAAAUACACCCAGAGCACAGA